RNAcentral lists this ribosomal RNA (468 nucleotides) under uncultured bacterium. RNAcentral's name for it is "partial 16S ribosomal RNA". It matches the Rfam family "Bacterial small subunit ribosomal RNA", at positions 28 to 507 of the family's 1533-position model. The record is from RNAcentral.
GACGAACGCUGGCGGCGUGCUUAACACAUGCAAGUCGAACGGAAAGGCCCUGCUUUUGUGGGGUGCUCGAGUGGCGAACGGGUGAGUAACACGUGAGUAACCUGCCCUUGACUUCGGGAUAACUUCAGGAAACUGGGGCUAAUACCGGAUAGGAGCUCCUGCUGCAUGGUGGGGGUUGGAAAGUUUCGGCGGUUGGGGAUGGACUCGCGGCUUAUCAGCUUGUUGGUGGGGUAGUGGCUUACCAAGGCUUUGACGGGUAGCCGGCCUGAGAGGGUGACCGGCCACAUUGGGACUGAGCUACGGCCCAGACUCCUACGGGAGGCAGCAGUGGGGAAUAUUGCACAAUGGGCGGAAGCCUGAUGCAGCAACGCCGCGUGCGGGAUGACGGCCUUCGGGUUGUAAACCGCUUUCGCCUGUGACGAAGCGUGAGUGACGGUAAUGGGUAAAGAAGCACCGGCUAACUACGUG